This 332-nucleotide ribosomal RNA is filed under the name uncultured Paenibacillus sp. RNAcentral's name for it is "bacterial SSU rRNA". It matches the Rfam family "Bacterial small subunit ribosomal RNA", at positions 1049 to 1382 of the family's 1533-position model. Lineage: Bacteria; Bacillati; Bacillota; Bacilli; Caryophanales; Paenibacillaceae. The record is from RNAcentral.
UUGUCGUCAGCUCGUGUCGUGAGAUGUUGGUUAAGUCCGCAACGAGCGCAACCCUCGACCUUAGUUGCCAGCAUUCAGUUGGGCACUCUAAGGUGACUGCCGGCUAAAAAGUCGGAGGAAGGUGGGGAUGACGUCAAAUCAUCAUGCCCCUUAUGACCUGGGCUACACACGUGCUACAAUGGGCGGUACAAAGGGUCGCGAACCCGCGAGGGGGAGCCAAUCCCAAAAAAGCCGCUCUCAGUUCGGAUUGCAGGCUGCAACUCGCCUGCAUGAAGCCGGAAUCGCUAGUAAUCGCGGAUCAGCAUGCCGCGGUGAAUACGUUCCCGGGCCUU